Molecule: ribosomal RNA, 1141 nt
Filed under: uncultured fungus
Lineage: Eukaryota; Fungi
Description: eukaryotic LSU rRNA
Rfam family: Eukaryotic large subunit ribosomal RNA (bases 520-1141)
Source: RNAcentral
AGUCGUAACAAGGUCUCCGUUGGUGAACCAGCGGAGGGAUCAUUAAAGAGUUGCAAAACUCCCAAACCAUUGUGAACUUACCUUCAACGUUGCUUCGGCGGGUUGGCCCCGGUCUCCGGGGCCCCCGGCCCUCACGGGCACCCGCCGGAGGUAUCUAACUCUUGAAUUAUGGCAUCUCUGAGUCUUUGUACUUAAUAAGUCAAAACUUUCAACAACGGAUCUCUUGGUUCUGGCAUCGAUGAAGAACGCAGCGAAAUGCGAUAAGUAAUGUGAAUUGCAGAAUUCAGUGAAUCAUCGAAUCUUUUGAACGCACAUUGCGCCCGCCAGUAUUCUGGCGGGGCAUUGCCUGUUCGAGCGUCAUUUCAACCAUCAAGCCCCCGGCUUGUGUUGGGGACCUGCGGCUGCCCGCAGGCCCUGAAAAUCAGUGGCGGGCUCGCUAGUCACUCCGAGCGUAGUAAUACAUCUCGCUUAGGACGUGCUGCGGGUUCCGGCCGUAAAAACACCUUAUUUACCCAAGGUUGACCUCGGAUCAGGUAGGAAGACCCGCUGAACUUAAGCAUAUCAAUAAGCGGAGGAAAAGAAACCAACAGGGAUUGCCUCAGUAACGGCGAGUGAAGCGGCAACAGCUCAAAUUUGAAAUCUGGCUUCGGCCCGAGUUGUAAUUUGUAGAGGAUGCUUUGGGUGCGGCUCUGACUGAGUUCCCUGGAACGGGACGCCACAGAGGGUGAGAGCCCCGUAUAGUCAGAUGCCUAGCCUAUGUAAAGCUCCUUCGACGAGUCGAGUAGUUUGGGAAUGCUGCUCAAAAUGGGAGGUAAAUUUCUUCUAAAGCUAAAUAUUGGCCAGAGACCGAUAGCGCACAAGUAGAGUGAUCGAAAGAUGAAAAGCACUUUGAAAAGAGGGUUAAAUAGCACGUGAAAUUGUUGAAAGGGAAGCGCUUGUGACCAGACUUGCGCCGGGCAGAUCAUCCGGUGUUCUCACCGGUGCACUCUGCCCGGCUCAGGCCAGCAUCGGUUCUCGUGGGGGGAUAAAGGUCCCGGGAACGUAGCUCCUUCGGGAGUGUUAUAGCCCGGGGCGUAAUGCCCUCGUGGGGACCGAGGUUCGCGCAUCUGCAAGGAUGCUGGCGUAAUGGUCAUCAGCGACC